AGUGAACGCUGGCGGUAGGCCUAACACAUGCAAGUCGAACGGCAGCACAGUAAGAGCUUGCUCUUACGGGUGGCGAGUGGCGGACGGGUGAGGAAUACAUCGGAAUCUACUUUUUCGUGGGGGAUAACGUAGGGAAACUUACGCUAAUACCGCAUACGACCUACGGGUGAAAGCAGGGGAUCUUCGGAACUUGCGCGAUUGAAUGAGCCGAUGUCGGAUUAGCUAGUUGGCGGGGUAAAGGCCCACCAAGGCGACGAUCCGUAGCUGGUCUGAGAGGAUGAUCAGCCACACUGGAACUGAGACACGGUCCAGACUCCUACGGGAGGCAGCAGUGGGGAAUAUUGGACAAUGGGCGCAAGCCUGAUCCAGCCAUACCGCGUGGGUGAAGAAGGCCUUCGGGUUGUAAAGCCCUUUUGUUGGGAAAGAAAAGCAGCAGGCUAAUACCCCGCUGUUCUGACGGUACCCAAAGAAUAAGCAACGGCUAACUUCGUG
RNAcentral lists this ribosomal RNA (492 nucleotides) under uncultured bacterium. RNAcentral's name for it is "partial 16S ribosomal RNA". It matches the Rfam family "Bacterial small subunit ribosomal RNA", at positions 29 to 507 of the family's 1533-position model. The record is from RNAcentral.